RNAcentral lists this long non-coding RNA (902 nucleotides) under Marmota monax (woodchuck). Lineage: Eukaryota; Metazoa; Chordata; Mammalia; Rodentia; Sciuridae. The record is from RNAcentral.
UAGAGUUAUAGCUAGAUAAAGGAUUAAGUGUAGGUUUAGGUCCAGUGUUACGGUAAGGAUUAGUUAUAGGGUUACAGGUAGUGCCAAUCUUAGGGGUUGGUUUAGGGUUAGGGUCAGGUUUAGACCUAUGGUUAGUGUUAGGGUAAGAAUAAGAGUCAGGGUUAUGGUGAGGAUAUGGGAUAGUGGUAGAGCUACAUUGAGGUUUAGGGUUAGGACUUGUAAUAUAGUUUGGUUUCCGGUUAGGCUAAGAACUAGGUUUAGGACAAGGGUAGCUUUAGGGUUAUAGUUUGGCUUAGGGUAAGGGAUAGGGUUAGAGCUUGGAUUAGGGCUAGGCUAGGUUUUGUGUUAGCUUUAGGGCUACGGCUAAUGUAAGAACUAGGGUUACACUUAGGACUAGUUUUAGGGUUAGUAUUACGUCUAGGUUUAGUGUUUGGUUAUGUUUAGGGUUAAGGUUAUGUUUAGGGUAAGGAUAGGUUAGAGUUAGCGAAUGUGUUAGGGUUAGGCUGAGGGUUAGCAUUAGGGUUAGGGUUAGGGUUAGGGUUAGUGUUAGUGUAAUGGAUAGGGUUAGAACUAGGGUUAGGGCUAGGGUUAUGGUUAGUGUUAGUGUUAGUGUUAGGGUUAGUGUUAGGUUUAGGGUUAGUGCAAGAAUUAAAGUUAGGGUUAGGUUCAGGGUAAGGGUUAGGACUUGGUUUAGGUUUAUUGUUAGGUUUAUAUUUAGGUUUAUAAAGCUAUGGUUGGGGCUCGCAUUAGGGCUAGAUUUUGGGUUAAAUUGGGGUUAGUGUUAGGGAUAGAGAUAAUGUAAGAACGAGGGUUAUGAUUCAGGCUGAUUUUAGGGUUACAUUUAGGGCUAAGUCUAGUUUUAUGGUUAGGUUAAGUUCAGGGUGAUGUUUUGAGCUAGGGUU